Molecule: non-coding RNA, 182 nt
Filed under: Acidobacteriota bacterium
Lineage: Bacteria; Pseudomonadati; Acidobacteriota
Description: 6S RNA
Rfam family: 6S / SsrS RNA
About the family: E. coli 6S RNA was the first non coding RNA to be sequenced, but its function was unknown until recently. It consists of 184 nucleotides that fold into an extended hairpin structure with a large single-stranded internal bulge.
Source: RNAcentral
AUGGCCCUGCGGGGCACGUGAAGGACUGGUCAGCUUGAGCCAACACUCACGCAUCGGGAAUCUGAUAUGCGACCGUGGUGAGCAGGCCUCUCAUCGGAAGAGGAAGCCUGAAGCGGUUCUUGGAAUCCCACCUGGCGAACCCGGUUCAACUUAAACCAUCCUCACGACCUCGCGGGGUUCCU